AGAGGUCAGGCUGAAGACCUUACCCGAUUGCUGAGAGGUGGUGCAUGGCCGUCGUCAGUUCGUACUGUGAAGCAUCCUGUUAAGUCAGGCAACGAGCGAGACCCACGUCCACAGUUGCCAGCAUACCCUCCGGGGUGAUGGGUACACUGUGGAGACCGCCGCUGCUAAAGCGGAGGAAGGAGUGGGCAACGGUAGGUCAGUAUGCCCCGAAUCUCCCGGGCUACACGCGGGCUACAAUGGUUGGUACAAUGGGCAUCUACCCCGAAAGGGGAAGGAAAUCUCUUAAAGCCAAUCGUAGUUCGGAUUGAGGGCUGCAACUCGCCCUCAUGAAGCUGGAAUCCGUAGUAAUCGCGUUUCAACAGAACGCGGUGAAUACGUCCCUGCUCCUU
RNAcentral lists this ribosomal RNA (389 nucleotides) under uncultured Methanosaeta sp. RNAcentral's name for it is "bacterial SSU rRNA". It matches the Rfam family "Archaeal small subunit ribosomal RNA", at positions 949 to 1338 of the family's 1478-position model. The record is from RNAcentral. Lineage: Archaea; Methanobacteriati; Methanobacteriota; Methanomicrobia; Methanotrichales; Methanotrichaceae.